RNAcentral lists this long non-coding RNA (474 nucleotides) under Sinocyclocheilus anshuiensis. Its description in RNAcentral is "lncRNA (ENSSANG00000019347.1)". Lineage: Eukaryota; Metazoa; Chordata; Actinopteri; Cypriniformes; Cyprinidae. The record is from RNAcentral.
CACAGAAUGAAAAAGUUAAACCAAAUAAAAUAAAAAAAGAACUAAACUAAAGUAUUCCGUGAGCGAGCCUUUGUUUCGUGACGUCACGCCCUCACCGAGAGCGCGCGCGGAAACGAAACAUGGCUGAAAUGGUAACAGACAGUGACGGGGGUGUAACUGUAUCAGACCCUCCAAAACAACCCCCCAAACGCCGACGCAUCCUCGACGCUUCCUCCAUCACAACAGUACCUGUUUACUCCAACAAGGUAAACAGCUCCUUAAAUCUGAAGCCAAUAACCUUCAAACACACCACUCUCACAGGUAUAAUAUAACUUUUUAUAUGCUAACAUUUUAUUUUAGAAAUGUAUAUUUUUAUUCAGCAAGGAUGCAUUAAAUAAAUCAAAAGUUACCAUAUUAUGACCAUUUAUGAUGUAAAAAAAUCUGUCAAAUAAAUGUUUUGAUUUUUUUAAUUUUAUUUGUUUUUACUGUAUUUUU